GUCUGCAUGGAGCCGACCUUGAAAUACCACCCUUUAAUGUUUGAUGUUCUAACGUGGACCCGUAAUCCGGGUUGCGGACAGUGUCUGGUGGGUAGUUUGACUGGGGCGGUCUCCUCCUAAAGAGUAACGGAGGAGCACGAAGGUUGGCUAAUCCUGGUCGGACAUCAGGAGGUUAGUGCAAUGGCAUAAGCCAGCUUGACUGCGAGCGUGACGGCGCGAGCAGGUGCGAAAGCAGGUCAUAGUGAUCCGGUGGUUCUGAAUGGAAGGGCCAUCGCUCAACGGAUAAAAGGUACUCCGGGGAUAACAGGCUGAUACCGCCCAAGAGUUCAUAUCGACGGCGGUGUUUGGCACCUCGAUGUCGGCUCAUCACAUCCUGGGGCUGAAGUAGGUCCCAAGGGUAUGGCUGUUCGCCAUUUAAAGUGGUACGCGAGCUGGGUUUAGAACGUCGUGAGACAGUUCGGUCCCUAUCUGCCGUGGGCGCUGGAGAACUGAGGGGGGCUGCUCCUAGUACGAGAGGACCGGAGUGGACGCAUCACUGGUGUUCGGGUUGUCAUGCCAAUGGCACUGCCCGGUAGCUAAAUGCGGAAGAGAUAAGUGCUGAAAGCAUCUAAGCACGAAACUUGCCCCGAGAUGAGUUCUCCCUGAGACUUAGAGUCUCCUGAAGGAACGUUGAAGACGACGACGUUGAUAGGCCGGGUGUGUAAGCGCAGCGAUGCGUUGAGCUAACCGGUACUAAUGAACCGUGAGGCUUAACCUUACA
RNAcentral lists this ribosomal RNA (760 nucleotides) under Salmonella enterica subsp. enterica serovar Thompson. Its description in RNAcentral is "partial 23S ribosomal RNA". It matches the Rfam family "Bacterial large subunit ribosomal RNA", at positions 2174 to 2925 of the family's 2925-position model. RNAcentral also lists the same sequence under 2 other names. The record is from RNAcentral. Lineage: Bacteria; Pseudomonadati; Pseudomonadota; Gammaproteobacteria; Enterobacterales; Enterobacteriaceae.